RNAcentral lists this transfer RNA (69 nucleotides) under Cotesia glomerata. RNAcentral describes it as "tRNA-Gly". The record is from RNAcentral. Lineage: Eukaryota; Metazoa; Arthropoda; Insecta; Hymenoptera; Braconidae.
CGGAUAGCGUAGUGGAAGAGUCUCUGGCUGCCAACACAGAGUCCUGGGUUCGAUUCCCAGAUAGCACGA